CGCAUCUGUGCAUGCAGCAUAUCAAUAAGCGGAGGAAAAGAAACUAACAAGGAUUCCCCUAGUAACGGCGAGUGAAGCGGGAAGAGCUCAAAUUUGAAAUCUUAAAGGGUUUCCCUUUACGAAUUGUAGUUUAAAGAAGUGUUUUCUGUUGAGGUUUUGGUAAAAGUUCUUUGGAAUAGGACAUCAUAGAGGGUGAGAAUCCCGUAUUUGACCUUUACUUUCAACUUUGUAGAUACACUUUCAAAGAGUCGGAUUGUUUGGGAAUGCAGUCCAAAAUGGGUGGUAAAUUUCAUCUAAAGCUAAAUAUUGGCGAGAGACCGAUAGCGAACAAGUACCGUGAGGGAAAGAUGAAAAGAACUUUGAAAAGAGAGUUAAACAGUACGUGAAAUUGUCAAAAGGGAAGCGUUUGACACCAGUGUUGUUUUUCUGAAAAUCAAUUAAAGAACUGUUUAUGCUAAGCUGUUUAGAUCUUUAUCAGCUAACUGUUUAGUUUUGAGCUUUUCUUUAAUGCACUUUUCAGUUAACAAGUCAACAUCAAUUUCUUUUGCUGUAAAAAAGCUUGAGGAAGGUGGCUUGAGAUUCGUCUUAAGUGUUUAUAGCCUCUUGCCUAUGCAGUCGGAGAGAUUGAGGUCUGCAGCGUAGAUCCUUCGGGGCUAAAUGCAUUUGUGCUAAGUUAUAGCAUUUUAUAGACAACUUGUUGACUAUGAUUUGUCUUGUAGCUUACUCGCUUAUGUUAUUUUACCUACGCUUAGGAUGUUGAGUCGUAGAGCACGCAG
RNAcentral lists this ribosomal RNA (776 nucleotides) under uncultured Neocallimastigales. Its description in RNAcentral is "partial large subunit ribosomal RNA". It matches the Rfam family "Eukaryotic large subunit ribosomal RNA", at positions 26 to 628 of the family's 3401-position model. The record is from RNAcentral. Lineage: Eukaryota; Fungi; Neocallimastigomycota; Neocallimastigomycetes; Neocallimastigales.